GAUGAACGCUAGCGGCAGGCUUAACACAUGCAAGUCGAGGGGUAUGCUUCUUCGGAAGCAGAGACCGGCGCACGGGUGCGUAACGCGUAUGCAAUCUACCUUUUACAGAGGGAUAGCCCAGAGAAAUUUGGAUUAAUACCUCAUAGUAUUAUAGAAUGGCAUCAUUUAUAAUUAAAGUCACAACGGUAAAGAUGAGCAUGCGUCCCAUUAGCUAGUUGGAAGGUAACGGCUUACCAAGGCUACGAUGGGUAGGGGUCCUGAGAGGGAGAU
RNAcentral lists this ribosomal RNA (270 nucleotides) under uncultured bacterium. Its description in RNAcentral is "partial 16S ribosomal RNA". It matches the Rfam family "Bacterial small subunit ribosomal RNA", at positions 28 to 304 of the family's 1533-position model. The record is from RNAcentral.